GGCGUGCUUAACACAUGCAAGUCGAGCGGAAAGGCCCCUUCGGGGGUACUCGAGCGGCGAACGGGUGAGUAACACGUGAGUAAUCUGCCCUCCACUUCGGGAUAGCCCUCCGAAAGGGGGAUUAAUACCGGAUGGGCACCACGGACCGCAUGGUGUGUGGUGGAAAGUUUUUCGGUGGGGGAUGAGCUCGCGGCCUAUCAGCUUGUUGGUGAGGUGAUGGCUCACCAAGGCUUCGACGGGUAGCCGGCCUGAGAGGGUGACCGGCCACACUGGGACUGAGACACGGCCCAGACUCCUACGGGAGGCAGCAGUGGGGAAUAUUGGACAAUGGGCGGAAGCCUGAUCCAGCAACGCCGCGUGAGGGAUGACGGCCUUCGGGUUGUAAACCUCUUUCAGCACCGACGAAGCGUGAGUGACGGUAGGUGCAGAAGAAGGACCGGCCAACUACGUGCCAGCAGCCGCGGUAAUACGUAGGGUCCGAGCGUUGUCCGGAAUUAUUGGGCGUAAAGAGCUCGUAGGCGGUGUGUCGCGUCGGGAGUGAAAACCCAGGGCUUAACUCUGGGCUGGCUUCCGAUACGGGCACACUAGAGGUAUGCAGGGGAGAACGGAAUUCCUGGUGUAGCGGUGAAAUGCGCAGAUAUCAGGAGGAACACCGGUGGCGAAGGCGGUUCUCUGGGCAUGACCUGACGCUGAGGAGCGAAAGUGUGGGGAGCGAACAGGAUUAGAUACCCUGGUAGUCCACACCGUAAACGUUGGGCGCUAGGUGUGGGAUCCAUUCCACGGGUUCCGUGCCGUAGCUAACGCAUUAAGCGCCCCGCCUGGGGAGUACGGCCGCAAGGCUAAAACUCAAAUGAAUUGACGG
RNAcentral lists this ribosomal RNA (862 nucleotides) under uncultured Actinomycetes bacterium. RNAcentral describes it as "bacterial SSU rRNA". It matches the Rfam family "Bacterial small subunit ribosomal RNA", at positions 41 to 916 of the family's 1533-position model. Lineage: Bacteria; Bacillati; Actinomycetota; Actinomycetes. The record is from RNAcentral.